GGGAGUGGCCAGGAUGUGAGGUGUCUUUUAUGAUGUUUUGGGCCUUUUUUAAAACAGUGGGCGUUGUUUGACUCUUUACUAACUUUAAAACCCCACCAUAACAAUUUCUCACUGACAAACUUCUAUGCAUCCAUUUAAACAUGCGAAGCCAGCACAAAAUCACACACAUACCCCUACAGCAAAGCUUUAACAUAACCACAAUGCAACUCCUCCCUUAAACGGGAGAAAUCACCCUGAAUCAACCAACUCUAUAUAAAACGUCAAACAAAGAUAAACCACAAACAUUUCUACACUUCUGUGUCUUCCACGCAGCACAAUAGGCAGAAAAACACCGAUUACUCACAGUCUACAACAAAAGAAAAACCUGCUCUUUUCACAACUUUCACAGCUAAAGUCAAAACUCUUACCCAGUGCCUCUGAAAUAAUAAAAAAAAAUCACCAAAUACUCGAUUACUCUUUUCACUCGCUCCCUCUCACUCCCUUCUUCCUCAUACAGCAUACACGCUCGCUCCCGCGGACCCGCUCGGCCCCGCGGGCUCACUCGGCCCCCACCUUUUUUCUCUCACAGAGACAGAGAGAGACCCUUUUCCUUUUUUUUUUUUUUUUUUUUUACUUCGGUCUAUCUGCACAGAGUUUACCUCAUCUCUUUCCUUCUAUGGGCAUGCACACUUCCUGUCUCACACACACAGCCCCUCUCUCAGAGAGAGCAGAAAAGAGUUUUUCCUUUUUUCAACACUCAGGAGAAAUUCAACAGACAGUUUAUACCACUAUUUUACACUUUAUUUACACACACCGGUAAUUUAUGUUCUAUUUACACACGGGCCCGCAUAGACAUAUGCCAGAAGAGGUUACCCCUAACUUUUUGACUAAUUUAAAAGCAUCUUUCAGCUGUUUUCCUCAAUGACUCUUUCUGCUUUUUUGCUUCUUUAGGCUGGUGUGUGGAGUUGAUGACUGUCUCAACACAUGUUAAUUGUUCUCCCAAUGUGCUAAGAAUAACACCGGGACCCCAACCAUCAUCAUUAGUUUCUCGAUCUAAUUCUCCAUCCAUUUUACUGUCAAUGGAGGAGUGUUCUUUUAUUGAUUUUAAAGGAGAAUUUGGGCCAGCUGGGUUUCUGCCUCUGUUAGGCACUAAUCAGCUGGGGCGCUGCUUUAAAGGUGAGUCAGCACUGAAAUAUCCCUUCAGGUGUUACCAAGCUUCUACCAAACCGGAGUCUGGCGGGUAACCUUGCCUAGAGCUUCCUGAUAGGGGUGCUAGUUGGUUGUCACCUUGUUCACACGUCUCAUUCACACUUCAUACAUUACCUGCAGUCACUCAUUACCCUCCUUAUGUAUGUAAUAAAUGUGUAAAAAAAAAAAAAAAUUCUAUGUGUGGUGUAUUAUUUUAACCAAAAGAGGAACCUAGUUCCUUUAAUUGUGUAAUCUGUGAACAACGGAGAACCAAACUGUCCUGCCCAGUGUUCCACAGCAAGCAUUCAGCGUGUAUUUAUGUGUGUCCAAUAUCAAACAGAACAUCAAAACAUUUAAAACACUAAAAUCAUCGGGGUUUUAAGAAGAGAUCCGUUUUCUCCUAUUGAUCAAAG
This is a long non-coding RNA of Astatotilapia calliptera (eastern happy), 1580 nucleotides long. The record is from Ensembl. NCBI's taxonomy places the organism in Eukaryota, Metazoa, Chordata, Actinopteri, Cichliformes, Cichlidae.